AUUGAACGCUGGCGGCAUGCCUUACACAUGCAAGUCGAACGGCAGCGCGGGAGCAAUCCUGGCGGCGAGUGGCGAACGGGUGAGUAAUACAUCGGAACGUGCCCAAUCGUGGGGGUUAACGCAGCGAAAGCUGUGCUAAUACCGCAUACGAUCUACGGAUGAAAGCAGGGGAUCGCAAGACCUUGCGCGAAUGGAGCGGCCGAUGGCAGAUUAGGUAGUUGGUGAGGUAAAGGCUCACCAAGCCUUCGAUCUGUAGCUGGUCUGAGAGGACGACCAGCCACACUGGGACUGAGACACGGCCCAGACUCCUAAGGGAGGCAGCAGUGGGGAAUUUUGGACAAUGGGCGAAAGCCUGAUCCAGCCAUGCCGCGUGCAGGAUGAAGGCCUUCGGGUUGUAAACUGCUUUUGUACGGAACGAAACGGUCUUUUCUAAUAAAGAAGGCUAAUGACGGUACCGUAAGAAUAAGCACCGGCUAACUACGUG
RNAcentral lists this ribosomal RNA (484 nucleotides) under uncultured bacterium. RNAcentral's name for it is "partial 16S ribosomal RNA". It matches the Rfam family "Bacterial small subunit ribosomal RNA", at positions 30 to 507 of the family's 1533-position model. The record is from RNAcentral.